This 292-nucleotide ribosomal RNA is filed under the name uncultured bacterium. RNAcentral describes it as "partial 16S ribosomal RNA". It matches the Rfam family "Bacterial small subunit ribosomal RNA", at positions 505 to 796 of the family's 1533-position model. The record is from RNAcentral.
GUGUCAGCAGCCGCGGUAAGACAGAGGGUGCAAACGUUGUUCGGAAUUACUGGGCGUAAAGCGCGUGUAGGCUGUCAUGCAAGUCGGGUGUGAAAGCCCAGGGCUCAACCCUGGAAGUGCACUCGAAACUGCAAGACUUGAGUCUCGGAGAGGAAAGCGGAAUUCUGGGUGUAGAGGUGAAAUUCGUAGAUAUCCAGAGGAACACCGGUGGCGAAGGCGGCUUUCUGGACGAGUUCUGACGCUGAGACGCGAAAGCGUGGGGAGCAAACAGGAUUAGAAACCCCUGUAGUCC